GCCUUCGUGGCUCAAUGGUACAGCAGUCGAUUUGUAAUCGACCAUUUCCUCGUUCAAGUCGGGGCGAAGGCACCA
Molecule: transfer RNA, 75 nt
Filed under: Caudoviricetes sp.
Lineage: Duplodnaviria; Heunggongvirae; Uroviricota; Caudoviricetes
Description: tRNA-Thr
Rfam family: tRNA
About the family: Transfer RNA (tRNA) molecules are approximately 80 nucleotides in length.
Source: RNAcentral